CUUAGUUGUUGAUUUCUGAUGGGCUUCUCAGCCCACAGUGACACUCAGUGGUGGUUGAGCAGACAACAGCAGAGAAUUCGGGGAACAGAACCUCAAAUAAUGCUUAUCUGGUGUGUUAGAAUCUUAGGCAUCUGAUUUGAAUCAAUCAAUAAGCAAUUGUCUUUUCAAGACUCUUACUAUUAAAUAGUAUAACUCUCUGAAUGCUGGUUCAUCAUCACAAUCACUUUCAUUAGGCAUUUUACCAGAGAACAAAACUGGCCCUGUUACUGUAAGUGUGUAAAAGAUAAACAUCUUUUAUUAGAAUGUUACACUCUGUAUAACUUCAGAAAAAAAAUGUACACACAUGCAUUUGCACUCUCCUACUUUCAAUCUUGCCAUCUGCUAUGGUAGUAGUUACUCACAUGUGGCUACUGAAUACUUGAAAAGUGACUAGUGAGACUAAGAAAAUGAAUUUUUAAUUUAACUUAAUUUUAAUUAAUUUUAAUUUAGCUGUAAAGACUGCUACCAUAUUAAUUAUUAGAAAUCUUGUGAGUGCAUUUGGAAUAAUUUUGACAUGUGAACCUACUUUUUCAACUGUAAAUUUUAUAAAAUUUUAAUGCAGAUAAAGUAUCUGUGAUGACAAUUUAG
RNAcentral lists this long non-coding RNA (627 nucleotides) under Homo sapiens (human). RNAcentral describes it as "long non-coding RNA NONHSAT161346". Lineage: Eukaryota; Metazoa; Chordata; Mammalia; Primates; Hominidae. The record is from RNAcentral.